UACGAAGGGUGCAAGCGUUAUCCGGAUUCAUUGGGUUUAAAGGGUGCGUAGGCGGGGCGUUAAGUCAGUGGUGAAAUCCUACAGCUCAACUGUAGACUUGCCAUUGAUACUGACGCUCUUGAGUGCGCUUGAAGUAGGCGGAAUGUGCCGUGUAGCGGUGAAAUGCUUAGAUAUGGCACAGAACACCGAUUGCGAAGGCAGCUUACUAAGGCGAUACUGACGCUGAGGCACGAAAGCGUGGGGAUCGAACAGG
This 253-nucleotide ribosomal RNA is filed under the name uncultured bacterium. RNAcentral describes it as "partial 16S ribosomal RNA". It matches the Rfam family "Bacterial small subunit ribosomal RNA", at positions 524 to 776 of the family's 1533-position model. The record is from RNAcentral.